RNAcentral lists this ribosomal RNA (478 nucleotides) under uncultured bacterium. RNAcentral's name for it is "partial 16S ribosomal RNA". It matches the Rfam family "Bacterial small subunit ribosomal RNA", at positions 28 to 523 of the family's 1533-position model. The record is from RNAcentral.
GACGAACGCUGGCGGCAUGCCUAACACAUGCAAGUCGAGCGAGCAGAUCCCUUCGGGGUGAAGCUAGCGGCGGACGGGUGAGUAACACGUGGGCAACCUGCCUCAUAGAGGGGAGUAGCCUUCCGAAAGGAAGAUUAAUACCGCAUAAGAUUGUGGCUUCGCAUGAAGCAGCAAUUAAAGGAGCAAUCCGCUAUGAGAUGGGCCCGCGGCGCAUUAGCUAGUUGGUGAGGUAACGGCUCACCAAGGCGACGAUGCGUAGCCGACCUGAGAGGGUGAUCGGCCACAUUGGGACUGAGGCACGGCCCAGACUCCUACGGGAGGCAGCAGUGGGGAAUAUUGCACAAUGGGGGGAACCCUGAUGCAGCAAUGCCGCGUGAGUGAUGACGGCCUUCGGGUUGUAAAGCUCUGUCUUCGGGGACGAUAAUGACGGUACCCGAGGAGGAAGCCACGGCUAACUACGUGCCAGCCGCCGCAGUAA